GAUGAACGCUGGCGGCGUGCCUAAUACAUGCAAGUCGAGCGAACAGACGAGGAGCUUGCUCCUCUGACGUUAGCGGCGGACGGGUGAGUAACACGUGGAUAACCUAACUAUAAGACUGGGAUAACUUCGGGAAACCGGAGCUAAUACCGGAUAAUAUAUUGAACCGCAUGGUGCAAUAGUUGAAGUAGGUUUUGCUGUCACUUAUAGAUGGAUCCGUGCCGCAUUAGCUAGUUGGUAAGGGAAAGGCUUACCAAGGCUACGAUGCUGAGCCGACCCGAGAGGGUGAAUCGCCACACUGGCACUGAGAAUCGUCCCCCACUCCUACAGGGGGCAACAGCAGAGAAUCUUACGCGAUGCGCGAAUGCCUAACGGAGCACCGCCGCGUAAAUGCUGAUGCUCCUAUGAUCCUAAAGCUAUGUAGUUCGGAAAGUUCUAAUGUGUAAGUACCUAUGCACGUCUUGACGGUACCUAAUCAGAAAGCCACGGCUAACUCCGUG
This 497-nucleotide ribosomal RNA is filed under the name uncultured bacterium. RNAcentral's name for it is "partial 16S ribosomal RNA". It matches the Rfam family "Bacterial small subunit ribosomal RNA", at positions 28 to 507 of the family's 1533-position model. The record is from RNAcentral.